CCAACAGCAACACAACUGUUUGCUCCUGCCUGCUGGCACUGACAGACCACUCUGUCAAAGCCACCCCACAACAGGAGCGCCACAGCUGUAGGGGGAGAGAAAAGCUGGGUCAGUAUGCUGGGAGCUGUGCACAUCCCUGCUUGGCAUUUUCCUUUUACCUGAGACUCCGUGUCCCUUCUGCAAAAUGGGAGUUUGCAGCUGAGCUUCCUCCUCCCCAGCCUUUUCCAGCUCAGUGUUCUCUAUGGGGUACGUGGACAACCAAGGGUCCUGCUUUUUGCAGGGGUGAGUUUCCUGCUCCUCUCACUGGGCUGGAGGCAGCUGGGUGGGCUCUCCUUUGCCUAGUAAGGUGUGAUAUCACUCCACACCACAGGACCUUUCUGCCAGCAAGAACAUUAGAAGGAUUUCCUCUCCUCCACCCAGUGCCCGCUGCAAUAUCCCAGAAGCUUCUUGCUCUUCACAUGCCCUCUCUCCUGCUGAGUGGGUUGAAACAGUGUGCUCCAAAAUUGAGAGGGGAGGCACAGCAGCCCCCUGUGCACAUCUCUACAGAGGCAGUGCUGGAGCAGAUGCCUGUCCCUGAGGACACUGGGCAAGCCUGUGUUUGAGCAUGAGCAAAUUAUUCUGUGCUUACUGCCGUCAGAAGAUGCCAGCUCUUGGGAGCCUCACAAUGGAAUUGCAACAAAAGCCUUGGAAAAGGGAAGCCUGGUGACAGGGAGGUGACCGAUCUGAGUGGUGCCACCACUGCCAGAGAGCAGGAUUCCUGCACCCCGUGCAGCAGCCUGUGUGUAUCCACAGCCUGUGUCAUCCCUGCAGGGCCACGGGGUGUCCCUUUGGCUUUUCAGGCCGUGGGCUCAGGCAGGGGAUGGUGCCCAGUGUGGCGUGGGUGGAGGUGCUGCUGAGCAGAGGCAAAUCUUGCUGCUCCUUGGCUUAUUCAGCGUUUCUCUUGAUCAGAAAGUACUAAAGCUCAGAAACUCAGCAGAGGCUGUGCCAGAGUGUUUCAGCUGGUUAUUGAGAUCCCUUGCUAAACCCCUUCGGCACAUCGUCAGGCUGACAAACACAAGCAUUGCUGAAAAAAACGGAGACACUGCAUUUGAAAAUUGUGCUGAAACCCGGCGUUCAGCCUUCUCUGCAAGAAAAUGUGAUUAAACAUCUCCUCUUUAGCUUGAAAACACUUGCCAAGUUUUAUCUGAAAAUUCAUUACACCCUCUCUCCACAUACGUUUUCCAAUGAAUGCACUAUUUAUCUCCAUCCUAUUAAAAAAUAUACAUAAAUAUCUGUCUCUUGCUGUAACACCAGACUGCGGGGCUCAUGUGUGGGUUCAGAGCCAGACUUGCUUUGAGCCUCUUCUUUCUCCUAUGUGUCCAUAAUUGUGCUGGAAAUCUCUGGAUGAUGGACUUCCAAUCAUGUCUUGGGGAAGGGAGAGGCCACUUCCCAAGGGAAAACUAAAUAAUUUCAAAAAGCCCAGAAAAGCCAAAAAAACCCCAAACCAACACAAACAAACCAGAAAAACAAACCAACCCAAAACCUCUUGGAAAUAAAAAUGUGUAAUCUUCAGGCUCACUGGUUGCUUUGGAGCACCAGGGAAGUGAUCCUUGGUGUCUAGCACUGAGCUAUCCAAGUGCUUCAAGUCCUGAUCUCCCCAACCAAACCCUCCUCCUAAUGGGGAAUAUUUAUCCUGCGUUGUCAGAAGUCUGCUCCAGGGUGGGAGCUAAUAUUAAUUAUAUGACAAACACAUCCUUGGGCAGUGAUUU
Long non-coding RNA from Passer domesticus (house sparrow), 1748 nucleotides. RefSeq lists it as uncharacterized. The record is from RefSeq and is a predicted model, not a curated record. The transcript is spliced from 2 exons. NCBI's taxonomy places the organism in Eukaryota, Metazoa, Chordata, Aves, Passeriformes, Passeridae.